Non-coding RNA from Pelobates cultripes (western spadefoot toad), 306 nucleotides. The record is from the annotation of a GenBank genome assembly. NCBI's taxonomy places the organism in Eukaryota, Metazoa, Chordata, Amphibia, Anura, Pelobatidae.
CUGUCACAGUCAGCAUAUUAUGUCGUAUAUUGAGUUUAAGUAUUCAAUAUUCCUUCAGUCAGCAAUAAUCAUGUUAUAAACCUUAUAAAAGCAUAAAAUACAUAUAAACAAGUUAACUAUUUAAUAUUCUUACAUUCCCCUCUUUGAGCAAUAAAAAAAUUGCUCAUCUUAUCGAUAAAAUCUUACCAGGACAGAGAAACCUCCACAUGGUAUUUUCAGGGGUGCUAGUCACUCCCUGCGGGACUUUCAUUAAUUUCUUCACCUCGAUUCCCAUGUGGUAAUUCCUAAGGCCCAGUUUAAAGAUGG